Molecule: ribosomal RNA, 207 nt
Filed under: uncultured bacterium
Lineage: Bacteria
Description: partial 16S ribosomal RNA
Rfam family: Bacterial small subunit ribosomal RNA
Source: RNAcentral
CAUGUAGGCGGCUUAAUAAGUCGAGCGUGAAAAUGCGGGGCUCAACCCCGUAUGGCGCUGGAAACUGUUAGGCUUGAGUGCAGGAGAGGAAAGGGGAAUUCCCAGUGUAGCGGUGAAAUGCGUAGAUAUUGGGGGGAACGACCAGUGGCGAAGGCGCCUUUCUGGACUGUGUCUGACGCUGAGAUGCGAAAGCCAGGGUAGCGAACG